GGGACUGUUUUGGUUUCGACAUUUAGAUUUGUUUAAUUUAUGAUUCAGGCCGAAGCUUGUAAUCUUCGUAAAAAUCUACAAAAUUUAAAAUAAAUGCUAACAAUAUCGUUCUUUUUAUUGCUAAAACAGUAAACUUUAAUAUUAAUAAAAGUAAUUUACAAUUUGCUUUUUAAUAAUUUAUAAAGUUUUAUUCUAUCAAUUUGUUCAUUAUAUAUUCUGAGAAUUUCAGAUAUUUAGUUUAGAAUAAUUUUAAAAAUACCAUUUGUUCUUAGAAACUAAGCCUGUGAACGAGUAAAUUCCUCAAUUUUAAAUGGACAUGGGUUCAAAUCCCAUCAGUUCCA
RNAcentral lists this transfer-messenger RNA (341 nucleotides) under Gomphoneis minuta var. cassieae. RNAcentral's name for it is "ssrA". It matches the Rfam family "transfer-messenger RNA". Rfam says of the family: Bacterial tmRNA, also known as 10Sa RNA or SsrA, is named for its dual tRNA and mRNA-like properties. Its role is to liberate the mRNA from a stalled ribosome. Lineage: Eukaryota; Bacillariophyta; Bacillariophyceae; Cymbellales; Gomphonemataceae. The record is from RNAcentral.